This 214-nucleotide long non-coding RNA is filed under the name Manihot esculenta (cassava). RNAcentral describes it as "long non-coding RNA (MESC_LNC009918)". Lineage: Eukaryota; Viridiplantae; Streptophyta; Magnoliopsida; Malpighiales; Euphorbiaceae. The record is from RNAcentral.
CCAUAUCGAAUGUCUGUCGUCCAGCCUUCGUAAUUAAAGUCAUCUUCCUCCAUCUCGUCAAGCCUGUAAGGUCGAAGCCUUAAAAGCAUUUUCUCCAUUUCGUCGAGCAUCUCUGAUUGACGUGACUUGUGAGCACUUUUGUCGCAGAUCGCACCAUUUCAAAUCUCUUCUUUCAGUCUUUCAAGCCUCAAUUUCGCAUGUCGCAGGUCAUCAC